UACGGAGGAUCCGAGCGUUAUCCGGAUUUAUUGGGUUUAAAGGGUGCGCAGGCGGGAGAUUAAGUCGGUGGUGAAAUUUUGCGGCUCAACCGUAACAGUGCCAUUGAUACUGGUUUCCUUGAGUGUGGAUGAAGUAGGCGGAAUUUGUGGUGUAGCGGUGAAAUGCAUAGAUAUCACGAGGAACUCCGAUCGCGUAGGCAGCUUACUAAACCAUAACUGACGCUCAUGCACGAAGGCGUGGGGAUCAAACAGGAUUAGAUACCCU
This 265-nucleotide ribosomal RNA is filed under the name uncultured prokaryote. RNAcentral's name for it is "partial 16S ribosomal RNA". It matches the Rfam family "Bacterial small subunit ribosomal RNA", at positions 524 to 788 of the family's 1533-position model. The record is from RNAcentral.